Long non-coding RNA from Eriocheir sinensis (Chinese mitten crab), 483 nucleotides. RefSeq lists it as uncharacterized. Lineage: Eukaryota; Metazoa; Arthropoda; Malacostraca; Decapoda; Varunidae. The transcript has 2 exons. The record is from RefSeq and is a predicted model, not a curated record.
AUUAAACUAUCUCAUCUGGAAAUGCCCAAAACUCCUACGUGUUUCUUUAGGUUCACGGUCCAGAGGAAGGGUUAAACUACCACCAGGGUCAUUAAACUAUCUCAUCUGGAAAUGCCCAAAACUCCUACGUGUUUCUUUAGGUUCAUGGUACAGAGGAAGGGUCAGACUACCACCAGGGUCAUUAAACUAUCUCAUCUGGAAAUGCCCAAAACUCCUACGUGUUUCUUUAGGUUCACGGUACAGAGGAAGGGUUAAACUACCUCCAGGGUCAUUAAACUAUCUCUGGAAUGCCCGAAACUCCUGCGAAGGCCUUGUCAAAUGUGAGUGUGUGUCCUGGGGCGCCGACAUGUUUAAGAAUGAAGGUCAAAUGUGAUGAAAAAAUGUUAAGUGUGAAGGUGAUUGAGUUUUUCCAGGCUUUGUUUUAGUUUGUUUGUUUGUUAUUUUCUUACUGAUGCCGAAACUAAAUAAAGCGUAUUAUUAUUA